This 558-nucleotide ribosomal RNA is filed under the name uncultured bacterium. Its description in RNAcentral is "bacterial SSU rRNA". It matches the Rfam family "Bacterial small subunit ribosomal RNA", at positions 38 to 643 of the family's 1533-position model. The record is from RNAcentral.
GGCGGCAGGCUUACACAUGCAAGUCGAACGAGCUCUUCGGAGCUAGUGGCAGACGGGUGAGUAACGCGUGGGAAUCUACCCAGUUCUCUGGAAUAACUGAUGGAAACGUCAGCUAAUACCGGAUACGCCCUUUUGGGGAAAGAUUUAUCGGGAUUGGAUGAGCCCGCGUAAGAUUAGCUAGUUGGUGGGGUAAUGGCCUACCAAGGCGACGAUCUUUAGCUGGUCUGAGAGGAUGAUCAGCCACACUGGGACUGAGACACGGCCCAGACUCCUACGGGAGGCAGCAGUGGGGAAUAUUGGACAAUGGGGGCAACCCUGAUCCAGCCAUGCCGCGUGAGUGAUGAAGGCCUUAGGGUUGUAAAGCUCUUUCACCGGUGAAGAUAAUGACGGUAACCGGAGAAGAAGCCCCGGCUAACUUCGUGCCAGCAGCCGCGGUAAUACGAAGGGGGCUAGCGUUGUUCGGAAUUACUGGGCGUAAAGCGCACGUAGGCGGAUAUUUAAGUCAGGGGUGAAAUCCCGGAGCUCAACUCCGGAACUGCCUUUGAUACUGGAUAUCUA